UGGGGAAUAUUGCACAAUGGGCGAAAGCCUGAUGCAGCAACGCCGCGUGAGUGAUGAAGGUCUUCGGAUUGUAAAGCUCUGUCUUUUGGGACGAUAAUGACGGUACCAAAGGAGGAAGCCACGGCUAACUACGUGCCAGCAGCCGCGGUAAUACGUAGGUGGCGAGCGUUGUCCGGAUUUACUGGGCGUAAAGGGUGCGUAGGCGGAUGUUUAAGUGAGAUGUGAAAUACCCGGGCUUAACUUGGGUGCUGCAUUUCAAACUGAAUAUCUAGAGUGCAGGAGAGGAGAAUGGAAUUCCUAGUGUAGCGGUGAAAUGCGUAGAGAUUAGGAAGAACACCAGUGGCGAAGGCGAUUCUCUGGACUGUAACUGACGCUGAGGCACGAAAGCGUGGGUAGCAAACAGGAUUAGAUACCCUGGUAGUCCACGCCGUAAAACGAUGAGUACUAGGUGUAGGAGGUAUCGACCCCUUCUGUGCCGCAGUAAACACAUUAAGUACUCCGCCUGGGAAGUACGAUCGCAAGAUUAAAACUCUAAAGUGAAUUGAC
RNAcentral lists this ribosomal RNA (546 nucleotides) under uncultured bacterium. RNAcentral's name for it is "partial 16S ribosomal RNA". It matches the Rfam family "Bacterial small subunit ribosomal RNA", at positions 355 to 914 of the family's 1533-position model. The record is from RNAcentral.